Molecule: small RNA, 330 nt
Filed under: Arabidopsis thaliana (thale cress)
Lineage: Eukaryota; Viridiplantae; Streptophyta; Magnoliopsida; Brassicales; Brassicaceae
Description: ATSL162090
Source: RNAcentral
AAAUUGGGAUUUAACCUCCUCUGUGGUUCAAUGCUAGAAUAUGAUUCGUUUUCAAGAUGGAUCCUAUGGUUGCAUAAACUAGGUGAAAUUCCCUUAAUGUCGGAUAAUGAAUAACCAAUCGCUCUCCUAUACUUUCUAAGCUCAGAUAAUUGCAGGUUCACUUCAUCACUAUUUAACUCAGCAUUAAUGAUCAUAGGGUAAGUAGAGUUUGGACCAAGGAAUGCGUACCUUAGACCUUUUGGAAGUGGUUUGAGAUCAACCUUCGGUGCCUUAAUGCUAGUUCUAGAGUAAUUAACUAGAACUUGAUUUUAGGAUAAUAGGUAUACCCAC